This 301-nucleotide ribosomal RNA is filed under the name uncultured bacterium. RNAcentral describes it as "partial 16S ribosomal RNA". It matches the Rfam family "Bacterial small subunit ribosomal RNA", at positions 509 to 808 of the family's 1533-position model. The record is from RNAcentral.
CAGUCGCCGCGGGAAAACGUAGGUGGCAAGCGUUGUCCGGAAUUAUUGGGCGUAAAGCGCGCGCAGGCGGAUCAGUUAGUCUGUCUUAAAAGUUCGGGGCUUAACCCCGUGAUGGGAUGGAAACUGCUGAUCUAGAGUAUCGGAGAGGAAAGUGGAAUUCCUAGUGUAGCGGUGAAAUGCGUAGAUAUUAGGAAGAACACCAGUGGCGAAGGCGACUUUCUGGACGAAAACUGACGCUGAGGCGCGAAAGCCAGGGGAGCGAACGGGAUUAGAUACCCCCGUAGUCCCUGUCUCUUAUACC